This 261-nucleotide non-coding RNA is filed under the name Sporomusa malonica. RNAcentral's name for it is "T-box sequence". It matches the Rfam family "T-box leader". From Rfam's summary of the family: Uncharged tRNA acts as the effector for transcription antitermination of genes in the T-box leader family. T-boxes are found upstream of many aminoacyl-tRNA synthetase genes and some amino acid biosynthetic genes usually in Gram-positive bacteria. The anticodon of a specific tRNA base pairs to a specifier sequence within the T-box motif, and the NCCA acceptor tail of the tRNA base pairs to a conserved bulge in the T-box antiterminator hairpin. Lineage: Bacteria; Bacillati; Bacillota; Negativicutes; Selenomonadales; Sporomusaceae. The record is from RNAcentral.
UGAUCAUCAAUGACCAGGAAGAGUAAACAUAUGCAGGAAGCUGCAGCGAGCCAAUGACAGUGAGAGUUUGGCGCCGUCCGGUAUGUUGAAUGGGCCUGGGAGAUACAGUUCUGAGCCGCGUUGGCGGGGUAGGAGCUGUCGGGGUUCUUCCGCCGUUACCAGGAAGCGGGUAUCGGAUGUUUUAUCCUGUACUUUGAUAAGCCGGGUCAUGUUAAUCAUGGCCAACGAGGGUGGCACCGCGGGUUAUUCCCCGUCCCUUGA